Molecule: ribosomal RNA, 1507 nt
Filed under: Nitrososphaerales archaeon
Lineage: Archaea; Thermoproteati; Nitrososphaerota; Nitrososphaeria; Nitrososphaerales
Description: partial 23S ribosomal RNA
Rfam family: Archaeal large subunit ribosomal RNA
Source: RNAcentral
UCUCUGACACGCUGACGCCGUCUGGUGGAUGGCUUGGCUUGAGAGACUAUGAAGGGCGUGGCAAGCUGCGAUAAGCUCUGGGUAGGCGCAGGCAGCCUUUGAUCCAGAGAUGCCCGAAUGGGACUUCCUAUCAGAAUGUCUUCGGGCAUACUGAUGAUCCGUAAGGAUCGUGAACCCUCCGAAUUGAAGCAUCUUAGUAGGAGGAGGAAAAGAAAUCAAUUGAGAUCCCCUAAUUAGCGGCGAGCGAAACGGGGUCUGCCCAAACCGAAUCCUGUAAAGUGAUUUGUAGGAGAUGUGGGGUAUGCUGGCAGUGUUUGCUUCUCUCUAUUUUUUGGACUGAAGUGGCCUGGAAAGGCCUAACAUAGAGGGUGAUAUUCUCGUAAGUUUAGGAAAAAGAGUGAUGUGCUGUUAGCUAGAGUACCUGGCCUCGGCAAUGGCUAGGGAAUAUGGGGGAAAGCAGCCUCCAAGGCUAAACACUUCUCAAGACCGAUAGUGUAAUAGUACCGUGAGGUAAAGCUGAAAAGUACCCUGAAAGGGGAGUGAAAAGUGACUGAAACCAGACGGUUACAGACGUGUAUUGCCUGAAAGGGGUUUACUGGUUUUCUUGAUCGUCCUUCGGGAUGGUCUUAUGGAGACCUAUUAUGACCCCAGGGUGAUACUUUCCGUCUAGAAACACGGGCCAGGGAGUUUAUUGUUAUGGCAAGCCUAAGGGCUUUAAACCUGAAAGCGAAGGGAAACCAAAUUUUUACAGCAGUAUUUUUACUGUGAGGAAAUGGGUCUGAAAGGGCCUUUAGUCAUAACGAUAAGACUAGAAACCGGACGAUCGUGCCCUGAGUUGGAUGAAGCUGGGCGAAAGCCUGGUGGAGGUCCUAAGGGGUCCUGACGUGCAACUCGGUCCUGUAACUUGGGGCAAGGGGCCAAAAGCCAAUCUAGUUCGGUGAUAGCUAGUUCCUACCGAAGCGGGUCGUAGCCCGGCCUAGGCAGACGUUGCCAACGCUGUAGAGCACCGAUGUGAAAGUAAGGGAUCGAAAGAUCCUCCUUUCGUUUCGAACUCCGAAGGUGUUGGUGCGGUAGAAGCCUGGAUGCGGGUUUGUGUGGGGUAAGCCUCACAACCGAGAGGGGGACAACCCAGACUGGAGUUAAGGCCCCCAAAUAUCGACUAAGUGUCAAACAAAAGGGCGUCUUUGAGCCAAGACAGCAGGAAGAUAGGCUUAGAACCAGCCACUCUUUAAAGAGUGCGUAACAGCUCACCUGCCGAGCUUGGGGGCCCCGAAAAUGGACGGGGCUAAAGUCGAUUGCCGAUACUCUGGACCACAAGUUAUUCUUGUGUGUGGUAGGUAGGCGUAGAGGUUGGGUAGAAGUAGGGCUGUGAAGUCCUGUGGACCGAUUUCUAUUGUAGAUCCUGGCGGUAGUAGCAGCGUAGUUGGGUGAGAAUCCCGACCACCGUAUGGGCAAGGUUUUCCUGGCAACGCGUCGUCGACCAGGAGUUAGCCGAUCCUAAGUGUAA